Molecule: microRNA precursor, 101 nt
Filed under: Ixodes scapularis (black-legged tick)
Lineage: Eukaryota; Metazoa; Arthropoda; Arachnida; Ixodida; Ixodidae
Description: microRNA isc-mir-184 precursor
Gene: isc-mir-184
Rfam family: mir-184 microRNA precursor family (bases 10-92)
Source: miRBase by way of RNAcentral
CGGCCUUCCGUUUCCACGUUUCCUUAUCAUUCGACUGUCCAGACUGCUGUUUUGGAGACCUGGACGGAGAACUGAUAAGGGCUUGUGGUUGCAUUACUCAA